UCGAAACCUGCCCAGCAGAACGACCCGCGAACGCGUUUAUCAACCGAGGGGUCGCCGUCGGAUUCGUCCGGCGUCGGUCUCUCAUCGGGCCCCGUAACAAAACCCCGGCGCAGAACGCGCCAAGGAAUCGAUAACGAAAAGAUCGCACGCCCCGAGCGCCCCGGAGACGGUGUGUGCGAGGGAGCGUUGCGCUUUGAGAACCAAAACGACUCUCGGCAACGGAUAUCUCGGCUCUCGCAUCGAUGAAGAACGCAGCGAAAUGCGAUACUUGGUGUGAAUUGCAGGAUCCCGCGAACCAUCGAGUUUUUGAACGCAAGUUGCGCCCGAAGCCUUUCGGCCGAGGGCACGUCUGCCUGGGUGUCACUCAAUCGUCGCUCCCAACGCAUUCCGAGGGAUGCGAACGGGACGGAAGAUGGCUUCCCGUGGACGUGAGUCCGUGGUUGGCCCAAAUGCCCGGUCCUCGGCAUCCACGCCACGACAAUCGGUGGUUGCGAGACCCUCGCCAUUCGUCGUGUGCCUCGGAUGUUUGUGCGGACCGACCGGACCCCGAAGCGUGCCUUAGGGCGUGCUCGCUUUGCGACCCCAG
This 586-nucleotide ribosomal RNA is filed under the name Euphorbia baselicis. Its description in RNAcentral is "eukaryotic LSU rRNA". The stretch from base 208 to 363 matches the Rfam family "5.8S ribosomal RNA". Lineage: Eukaryota; Viridiplantae; Streptophyta; Magnoliopsida; Malpighiales; Euphorbiaceae. The record is from RNAcentral.